Molecule: ribosomal RNA, 252 nt
Filed under: uncultured Bacteroidales bacterium
Lineage: Bacteria; Pseudomonadati; Bacteroidota; Bacteroidia; Bacteroidales
Description: partial 16S ribosomal RNA
Rfam family: Bacterial small subunit ribosomal RNA
Source: RNAcentral
UACGGAGGAUGCGAGCGUUAUCCGGAUUUAUUGGGUUUAAAGGGUGCGUAGGCGGCGAGUUAAGUCAGCGGUAAAAGCCCGGGGCUCAACCCCGGCCCGCCGUUGAAACUGGCUGGCUUGAGUUGGGGAAAGGCAGGCGGAAUGCGCGGUGUAGCGGUGAAAUGCAUAGAUAUCACACAGAACACCGAUUGCGAAGGCAUCUGACGAAUCGGAGAUUGACGCUGAUGCACGAAAGCGUGGGUAUCGAACAGG